Paramuricea clavata is the source of this 438-nucleotide non-coding RNA. NCBI's taxonomy places the organism in Eukaryota, Metazoa, Cnidaria, Anthozoa, Malacalcyonacea, Plexauridae. The record is from the annotation of a GenBank genome assembly.
CUGACGAUACCAACCUAAAUUUUAGUAGUGAUAAUUUAUCUCACCUUGAAUUUCUGAUGAAUUCUAGUCUGAUUAACCUAAACAGAUGGUUAAUAGCCAACAAAUUAAGCUUGAAUAUUGCUAAAACUGAGUUCAUGAUCAUUGGUUCACGUCAGCGUUUAGCAACUUUUAAUAAUUACGAGCCAAGUGUCUCGGUCGACAAUGUGCCAGUGAGGCAAGUUAGUUCAACUAAAACCCUAGGGCUAACCUUGGAUGAAAACCUUACUUGGAGAAACCAUGUUGAGGUCAUCACUAAAAAGAUCUCUUCUGGUAUUGGAGCUUUAAAGCGGGUGCGCGGGCUGAUUGACCAAGAAACUGCUAUUAAAGCCUAUAAAGGUUUUAUUGAACCAUACUUUUCCUAUUGUGCUCCAGUAUGGGACGGCCUCGGAGUAACUCUAA